UUUAUUCAUGGGAGACACAGAGAGAGGGAGGCAGAGACACAGGAGGAGGGAGAAGCAGGCUCCAUGCAGGGAGCCCGACGUGGGACUCCAUCCCGGGUCUCCAGGAUCAGGCCCUGGGCCUAAGGCAGAUGCUCCACUGCUGAGCUCCCCGGGCGUCCCAAAUAGGCAGUCUUUAGUGUGAGAUGCAGGAGAGCAGAGAGCCCUAGCACAGUUCCGUUCAGAAUAGACUACGCUUCCACAGACUAAACACACACAUAUCAUUUUGUAUUAGAUUCAACAGUGUCGUAAGUAGUAAUGGGUAUCCCACGACCGGUGCGAAAAGAUUUGAUUUCCUCAUUAGCUACCAAGGGAGUAGCAAAUGCCAACCUCUCAAUUUCCUCACUUGUAAAACAGGGAUAACAGGCAGGGAUGCAAAUGAAAAGCCUGGCAUCAUACCUGUUGUAUAAUAGGUUCUCUCUCUCCCUUCCCCCAUCUUAACAAAGAUCAGAGAUUAGGCAUAUCUAUAGGCAUCCUUUAAAAACUAGGGCUUCUCGAUCCUUAAUGUGUAGACCAGUUCCCUGGGGCAUCCUGUUGAAAGUGCAGAUUCUUUUUUUUUUUUUUUAAGAUUUUAUUUAUUCAGUUAUGAUAGACACAAAGAGGGGCGGGGGGCAGAGACACAGGCAGAGGGAGAAGCAGGCUCCAUGCCGGGAACCUGACGUGGGAAUUGACGUGGGACUUGACGUGGGACUUGACCCUGGGGCUGCAGAAUCAUACCCUGGGCCAAAGACAGGCGCUAAACUGCUGAGCCACCCAGGGAUCCCCAAAAGUGCAGAUUCUGCUUCAGUGGAGUUGGGGCCCGGGGUUCUGUAUUCCCGACAAGCUUCCAGGGUAAUGACAUGCUGCUGAGCUGGGAUCACUCUUUGAGUAGCAAGAAUUUAACACAAUGCAAAUUCCAAAAACACAGUUACUGCACAAAAAGCCCCUCAGUGGGCUCCAUGGUUUGUCUCUUUCUAUAAAAAAAUUAACUCUUCUACUGAACGCCUCAUGUGGAGUCACUUCCCCAACCAAGUAACCAGGCCAGGUUAUAAAGAAUACAUCUUUUGGCGCAGGAGGGUUCACAGCACUACUUCUGCGGGAAGAUCUUGCAAUGGUCUCUCCACCGCUUCUGGCUUUUUGAUCUUAGCCUUUUCCUCUGAUGAUAAUUACCCUUUAAUUAGCACCCACCACUCUGUCAUCUGAGUAAUUAUAGUAAGUGCAGCUUGCACCUCUGCUGGCAAUCUCUAAACGAAAAAAUGAUAAAAUAAGAUCCUGUAUGCUGAUGUUUUUUAAAAAGGCCCAAACUGACCCAAAUACAAGUUUCUGCACACACUGCCCAACACAGACCUGCUAUAACUUCCAGUCCUGUAAGCCAUCGAGAGUUGGUUUAUUUUGAAACAACCAGGACAAAGUACGGUCAUGAUAUUUUGGAAAACUGUAGAUGUCAGAAUACAAAUUUUGCCAGCUGCUGCAGCAGCAGCAGCAGUGCAAAAGCAAAAACAAUUCAGGCAUUAUAAACUCCACCUUAAAUUCCUA
RNAcentral lists this long non-coding RNA (1551 nucleotides) under Canis lupus familiaris (dog). Its description in RNAcentral is "lncRNA (ENSCAFG00000050347.1, ENSCAFG00805028514.1, ENSCAFG00845006525.1)". The record is from RNAcentral. Lineage: Eukaryota; Metazoa; Chordata; Mammalia; Carnivora; Canidae.